UGUCUUCUCUCCUCCCAAACAG
RNAcentral lists this microRNA (22 nucleotides) under Homo sapiens (human). RNAcentral's name for it is "hsa-miR-6740-3p". The record is from miRBase by way of RNAcentral. Lineage: Eukaryota; Metazoa; Chordata; Mammalia; Primates; Hominidae.